RNAcentral lists this ribosomal RNA (254 nucleotides) under uncultured prokaryote. RNAcentral describes it as "partial 16S ribosomal RNA". It matches the Rfam family "Bacterial small subunit ribosomal RNA", at positions 524 to 777 of the family's 1533-position model. The record is from RNAcentral.
UACGUAGGUGGCGAGCGUUAUCCGGAUUUAUUGGGUUUAAAGGGUGCGCAGGUUGUUUGAUAAGUCAGUGGUGAAAGUCUGUCGCUUAACGGUAGGAUUGCCAUUGAUACUGUUGGACUUGAAUAUGGAUGAGGUAGGCGGAAUGUGUAGUGUAGCGGUGAAAUGCAUAGAUAUUACACAGAACACCGAUUGCGAAGGCAGCUUACUAAUCCAUCAUUGACGCUGAGGCACGAAAUCGUGGGGAUCAAACAGGA